AGUCGAACGCGAAAGGGACUUCGGUCCCGAGUAGAGUGGCGCACGGGUGAGUAACGCGUAAGUGAUCUACCCCUGUAUCUGGGAUAACUGUGGGAAACUGCAGCUAAUACCGGAUACGUUCAUGUUCUUGCGAGUAUAUGAAGAAAGAUGGCCUCUGAUUCAAGCUAUUGUACAGGGAGGAGCUUGCGUACCAUUAGCUAGUUGGUAGGGUAAUGGCCUACCAAGGCAACGAUGGUUAGCGGGUCUGAGAGGAUGAUCCGCCACACUGGAACUGAAACACGGACCAGACUCCUACGGGAGGCAGCAGUGAGGAAUAUUGCGCAAUGGGGGCAACCCUGACGCAGCGACGCCGCGUGGAUGAUGAAGGCCUUCGGGUCGUAAAAUCCUGUCAGAUGGGAAGAAGUGUGCGAUGGCUAAUACCUGUUGCAUUUGACGGUACCAUCAGAGGAAGCACCGGCUAACUCCGUGCCAGCAGCCGCGGUAAUACGGAGGGUGCAAGCGUUGUUCGGAAUUACUGGGCGUAAAGCGCGCGUAGGCGGUUUGUUAAGUCAGAUGUGAAAGCCCAAGGCUCAACCUUGGACGUGCAUUUGAAACUGGCAGACUUGAGUAUUGGAGGGGGUGGUGGAAUUCCCGGUGUAGAGGUG
This 644-nucleotide ribosomal RNA is filed under the name uncultured bacterium. Its description in RNAcentral is "bacterial SSU rRNA". It matches the Rfam family "Bacterial small subunit ribosomal RNA", at positions 60 to 683 of the family's 1533-position model. The record is from RNAcentral.